GAAAAACACAAAGAUCUGAUAGUAAUAGCAAUGGGUUGAGUCGGGAUGGUGCUAAGAAUGAUGCGAAUAAUAGUAUUCCUAAGCUUCAAAGACCGUCUCAGACUAGUUCGGAGUUUCUCUAUUUGGGUACACUUGCUAGCUCACAUGGCGGAAUUGAAACACAUAAUGCUCAGAAUCGUAAUGGUAGUAACACUAGUUCUGCUCCUUCUUCCAGAAAAAUGGACUCGCCGGAGCUCCGUCCAUUGCCGCCGUUACAUGGACGGAAUUUGAGACAGAGUUAUGGGAAUACCAGGUUUUUCUCCGGUACUGCUGAAAAUGAU
RNAcentral lists this unclassified non-coding RNA (320 nucleotides) under Hevea brasiliensis (rubber tree). The record is from RNAcentral. Lineage: Eukaryota; Viridiplantae; Streptophyta; Magnoliopsida; Malpighiales; Euphorbiaceae.